This 136-nucleotide ribosomal RNA is filed under the name uncultured bacterium. RNAcentral describes it as "partial 16S rRNA". It matches the Rfam family "Bacterial small subunit ribosomal RNA", at positions 355 to 507 of the family's 1533-position model. The record is from RNAcentral.
UGGGGAAUAUUGCGCAAUGGGCGGAAGCCUGACGCAGCGACGCCGCGUGGGGGAUGAAGGCCUUCGGGUUGUAAACCUCUUUCAGCAGGGACGAAGUUGACGUGUACCUGCAGAAGAAGCGCCGGCCAACUACGUG